AUGCAAAAACUAAAACCAAUCGGUUCUUUCAUUGCAUUUGAUUGGUUUUCUGCCAAAAACAGGAGGCCAUCAGAUCAAGCCAGUGUUCGUUUCAUCAACCAAAUUAAAGCCCCAACUCACAAAAUGAUUUCACCAAAAACAGGGCCGGAACAAGAAGCGCAGGAUCAAACCAUCAACCUCGAAUCCCAUAGACAAACAAAUCCGAUAAAAGUUCGAUCGAUCUCUACGUCCGAGAGCAGCGGCUAUCAUGCAAAGAUUCUACGGGAGACGAACAAAGUCCGCCGAAAAACAAACCACGGCAAGUUCAAGGCCGAGCUUUGGAAGGCUUACAUGUAUAUGAAGGUGUCGCGGCCGGGGCCGAGGCGGCGGCAGCAGAGGCCGCAGGCCUUGAGGAAGGCGGCCGUCUCCACGGCGGCGUUGAAGUCCCCCGAGUGGCGCCUCUGGAAGGCGGCCGAGGCGGCGCCCCACUCCGUCUGCGCCGGCGCCGCCGAGGCGCCCCUGGCCGCCCGCGUGGGCUGGCGCCCCGCCUCCUCCUCCGGCGGCACCGCGAAGGCCGACAUGCUCGUGGUCCGCCGCAUCGAGCUGCUGUUCCGGUGCCUCUUCCCCAGCGUCGUCAUCGCCCCUCGCCUAGGUUCCACCGGCCGGACGGACGGAGUCGGAGAGGGGGAGAGGGAGUGGGGGAUGGCGAGUGGCGAAGGAGGGAGGAGGAGGGAGGCUCUGUGUGGGGGUAGUUAA
Molecule: ribosomal RNA, 735 nt
Filed under: Triticum aestivum (bread wheat)
Lineage: Eukaryota; Viridiplantae; Streptophyta; Magnoliopsida; Poales; Poaceae
Description: partial small subunit ribosomal RNA
Source: RNAcentral